Molecule: ribosomal RNA, 492 nt
Filed under: uncultured bacterium
Lineage: Bacteria
Description: partial 16S ribosomal RNA
Rfam family: Bacterial small subunit ribosomal RNA
Source: RNAcentral
AGUGAACGCUGGCGGUAUGCCUAACACAUGCAAGUCGAACGGCAGCACAGUAAUAGCUUGCUCUUACGGGUGGCGAGUGGCGGACGGGUGAGGAAUACAUCGGAAUCUACUUUUUCGUGGGGGAUAACGUAGGGAAACUUACGCUAAUACCGCAUACGACCUACGGGUGAAAGCAGGGGAUCUUCGGACCUUGCGCGAUUGAAUGAGCCGAUGUCGGAUUAGCUAGUUGGCGGGGUAAAGGCCCACCAAGGCGACGAUCCGUAGCUGGUCUGAGAGGAUGGUCAGCCACACUGGAACUGAGACACGGUCCAGACUCCUACGGGAGGCAGCAGUGGGGAAUAUUGGACAAUGGGCGCAAGCCUGAUCCAGCCAUACCGCGUGGGUGAAGAAGGCCUUCGGGUUGUAAAGCCCUUUUGUUGGGAAAGAAAAGCAGCAGGUUAAUACCCCGCUGUUCUGACGGUACCCAAAGAAUAAGCACCGGCUAACUUCGUG